GACGAAGGUGGCGACCGUUGUUCGGAAUCACUGGGCCUAAAGAGCACGUAGGCGGCAAGGUAUGUCGGGUGUGAAAUCCCUCGGCCUAACCGAGGAAUUGCGCCCGAAACUACCUUGCUUGAGGAUGGAAGGGGAGCGUGGAAUUCCUGGUGGAGCGGUGAAAUGCGUUGAUAUCAGGAGGAACACCGGCGGCGAAGGCGACGCUCUGGUCCAUUACUGACGCUGAGGUGCGAAAGCCAGGGGAGCAAACGGG
This 253-nucleotide ribosomal RNA is filed under the name uncultured bacterium. Its description in RNAcentral is "partial 16S ribosomal RNA". It matches the Rfam family "Bacterial small subunit ribosomal RNA", at positions 524 to 776 of the family's 1533-position model. The record is from RNAcentral.